CCUACGGGUGGCAGCAGUGGGGAAUAUUGGGCAAUGGGCGCAAGCCUGACCCAGCAACGCCGCGUGAAGGAAGAAGGCUUUCGGGUUGUAAACUUCUUUUAAGCGGGAAGAGCAGAAGACGGUACCUCUUGAAUAAGCUCCGGCUAACUACGUGCCAGCCGCCGCGGUAAUACGUAGGGAGCGAGCGUUGUCCGGAUUUCCUGGGUGUAAAGGGCGUGCAGCCGGGAGUACAAGGCAGAUGUGAAAUCCCGCGGCUCAACCGCGGAACUGCAGUUGAAACUGUAUUUCUUGAGUACGUGAGAGGCAGACGGAAUGCGUGGUGUAGCGGUGAAAUGCAUAGAGAUUAGGAAGAACACCGGUGGCGAAGGCAGUAUGCUGGACAGCAACUGACGGUGAUGCGCGAAAGCGUGGGGAGCGAACAGGAUUAGAUACCCGAGUAGUC
RNAcentral lists this ribosomal RNA (442 nucleotides) under uncultured bacterium. Its description in RNAcentral is "partial 16S ribosomal RNA". It matches the Rfam family "Bacterial small subunit ribosomal RNA", at positions 338 to 795 of the family's 1533-position model. The record is from RNAcentral.